GCCCCCGUGUCCCAACCGGCAGAGGAAGGCGCCUUAAAAGCGCUGUGUUGCGGGUUCGAAUCCCGCCGGGGGCACCC
Molecule: transfer RNA, 77 nt
Filed under: Nocardioides sp.
Lineage: Bacteria; Bacillati; Actinomycetota; Actinomycetes; Propionibacteriales; Nocardioidaceae
Description: tRNA-Leu
Rfam family: tRNA
About the family: Transfer RNA (tRNA) molecules are approximately 80 nucleotides in length. Their secondary structure includes four short double-helical elements and three loops (D, anti-codon, and T loops).
Source: RNAcentral